UGCAAGUCGAACGCUGAUAGCCCUGAGAUGCUUGCACCGGGGUGGAUGAGUGGCGAACGGGUGAGUAACACGUGAGUAACCUGCCCCCGACUUCGGGAUAAGCCCGGGAAACUGGGUCUAAUACCGGAUAUGACCACCAAAGGCAUGAGUGAUGGUGGAAAGUUUUUUCGGUUGGGGAUGGGCUCGCGGCCUAUCAGUUUGUUGGUGAGGUAAUGGCUCACCAAGACGACGACGGGUAGCCGGCCUGAGAGGGCGACCGGCCACACUGGGACUGAGACACGGCCCAGACUCCUACGGGAGGCAGCAGUGGGGAAUAUUGCACAAUGGGGGAAACCCUGAUGCAGCGACGCAGCGUGCGGGAUGACGGCCUUCGGGUUGUAAACCGCUUUCAGCAGGGAAGAAGCCUUUAUCGGUGACGGUACCUGCAGAAGAAGUACCGGCUAACUACGUGCCAGCAGCCGCGGUAAUACGUAGGGUACAAGCGUUGUCCGGAAUUAUUGGGCGUAAAGAGCUCGUAGGUGGUUGGUCACGUCUGCUGUGGAAACGCAACGCUUAACGUUGCGCGUGCAGUGGGUACGGGCUGACUAGAGUGCAGUAGGGGAGUCUGGAAUUCCUGGUGUAGCGGUGAAAUGCGCAGAUAUCAGGAGGAACACCGGUGGCGAAGGCGGGACUCUGGGCUGUAACUGACACUGAGGAGCGAAAGCAUGGGGAGCGAACAGGAUUAGAUACCCUGGUAGUCCAUGCCGUAAACGUUGGGCACUAGGUGUGGGGGACAUUCCACGUUCUCCGCGCUGACUAGAGUGCAGUAGGGGAGUCUGGAAUUCCUGGUGUAGCGGUGAAAUGCGCAGAUAUCAGGAGGAACACCGGUGGCGAAGGCGGGACUCUGGGCUGUAACUGACACUGAGGAGCGAAAGCAUGGGGAGCGAACAGGAUUAGAUACCCUGGUAGUCCAUGCCGUAAACGUUGGGCACUAGGUGUGGGGGACAUUCCACGUUCUCCGCGCCGUAGCUAACGCAUUAAGUGCCCCGCCUGGGGAGUACGGUCGCAAGGCUAAAACUCAAAGGAAUUGACGGGGGCCCGCACAAGCGGCGGAGCAUGCGGAUUAAUUCGAUGCAACGCGAAGAACCUUACCAAGGCUUGACAUACACCAGACCGUUCUGGAAACAGUUCCUCCCCUUUGGGGUUGGUGUACAGGUGGUGCAUGGUUGUCGUCAGCUCGUGUCGUGAGAUGUUGGGUUAAGUCCCGCAACGAGCGCAACCCUCGUUCUAUGUUGCCAGCACGUGAUGGUGGGAACUCAUAGGAGACUGCCGGGGUCAACUCGGAGGAAGGUGGGGAUGACGUCAAAUCAUCAUGCCCUUUAUGUCUUGGGCUUCACGCAUGCUACAAUGGCUGGUACAGAGAGAUGCGAGACCGCGAGGUUUUAGCGAAUCCCUUAAAGCCAGUCU
This 1446-nucleotide ribosomal RNA is filed under the name Brevibacterium sp. AB_95. RNAcentral describes it as "bacterial SSU rRNA". It matches the Rfam family "Bacterial small subunit ribosomal RNA", at positions 56 to 1288 of the family's 1533-position model. The record is from RNAcentral. Lineage: Bacteria; Bacillati; Actinomycetota; Actinomycetes; Micrococcales; Brevibacteriaceae.